GAUGAAGAACGUAGCGAAAUGCGAUAAGUAAUGUGAAUUGCAGAAUUCAGUGAAUCAUCGAAUCUUUGAACGCACAUUGCGCCCAUUAGUAUUCUAGUGGGCAUGCCUGUUCGAGCGUCAUUAAGUCCACUUAAGCCCUGCUUAGUGUUGGGAGACUGCUCCAGCGGUGCUACCCUGUAGCUACCCUGCAGCUCCUCAAAGACAGCGGCGGAGUUGUGGUAUCCUCUGAGCUUAGUAACUUGUUCUAGCUUUCGANNNCACCACUUCCCCUGCCGUAAAACCCUUAAUUUUUAAUGGUUGACCUCGGAUCAGGUAGGAAUACCCGCUGAACUUAAGCAUAUCAAUAAGCGGAGGA
This 355-nucleotide unclassified non-coding RNA is filed under the name soil metagenome. RNAcentral's name for it is "partial contains 5.8S ribosomal RNA, internal transcribed spacer 2, and large subunit ribosomal RNA". The stretch from base 1 to 120 matches the Rfam family "5.8S ribosomal RNA", at positions 35 to 154 of the family's 154-position model. The record is from RNAcentral.